RNAcentral lists this ribosomal RNA (222 nucleotides) under Vibrio vulnificus. RNAcentral describes it as "partial 16S ribosomal RNA". It matches the Rfam family "Bacterial small subunit ribosomal RNA", at positions 78 to 303 of the family's 1533-position model. The record is from RNAcentral. Lineage: Bacteria; Pseudomonadati; Pseudomonadota; Gammaproteobacteria; Vibrionales; Vibrionaceae.
UGUUUCUCGGGUGGCGAGCGGCGGACGGGUGAGUAAUGCCUGGGAAAUUGCCCUGAUGUGGGGGAUAACCAUUGGAAACGAUGGCUAAUACCGCAUGAUGCCUACCGGCCAAAGAGGGGGACCUUCGGGCCUCUCGCGUCAGGAUAUGCCCAGGUGGGAUUAGCUAGUUGGUGAGGUAAGGGCUCACCAAGGCGACGAUCCCUAGCUGGUCUGAGAGGAUGA